Molecule: ribosomal RNA, 393 nt
Filed under: uncultured bacterium
Lineage: Bacteria
Description: partial 16S ribosomal RNA
Rfam family: Bacterial small subunit ribosomal RNA
Source: RNAcentral
AUACGGAGGAUGCAAGCGUUAUCCGGAUUUAUUGGGUUUAAAGGGUGCGUAGGCGGGACUGUAAGUCAGGGGUGAAAUACUGCAGCUUAACUGUAGCAUUGCCUUUGAAACUGCCGUUCUUGAGUACAGUUGAGGUAGGCGGAAUGUGGUGUGUAGCGGUGAAAUGCAUAGAUAUACCACAGAACGCCGAUUGCGAAGGCAGCUUACUAAGCUGUUACUGACGCUGAGGCACGAAAGCGUGGGGAUCAAACAGGAUUAGAUACCCUGGUAGUCCACGCUGUAAACGAUGAUUACUGGUUGUUAGCGAUAUAUAGCUAGUGACUGAGCGAAAGCAUUAAGUAAUCCACCUGGGGAGUACGUCGGCAGCGAUGAAACUCAAAGGAAUUGACGGGG